GUGUUAAAUAUAUCUUUUAUCUGUCCCGAGGAAGGUUUUUACCAAUUCACUCCUGAGGGCUUGUAGCUCAGUUGGUUAGAGCGCGCGCUUGAUAAGCGUGAGGUCGGAGGUUCAAGUCCUCCCAGGCCCACCAAUUUAUGAUCGCUGAUAAAGUUUGCUGAUAAAGUUUUUACGAAUGUUUUGGUGGUCUUUUAUGUUGCAAUCUUUCACUUUUAUGUUGCACUUUUAAAAGCUAUUUGAACUGUUUAGGGGCCGUAGCUCAGCUGGGAGAGCACCUGCUUUGCAAGCAGGGGGUCGUCGGUUCGAUCCCGUCCGGCUCCACCAUCUUUGGUUAUCAUCAUCGUUGGAGAACAAUGUUUGCAAUAGAUCAUAGAUUUUAAGUCUAUCAUCUAUUGCCUGUUCUAUUGAAAUUGUGAAGAGAAGAUAUAUUCAGACAUUACUGUUUUAUUCAUACAGUGCUGUUUUUGUUGUUACUUUAAUGUUUAAAUCCUUCCUUUAAGGAAUGACAAAAAGCUUAAAAACACAACAAAAUACUGUUUUUAAACAGUGUUUUUUAAAUUUAAAACAGCAACUAAAUUUAGUCAUUGUUUUAAACAAUGUAAUGUGUCGCUAGGGUAUGCUCAAAGCCUUAGCUUUAUGAUUGA
Molecule: transfer RNA, 644 nt
Filed under: Bartonella sp.
Lineage: Bacteria; Pseudomonadati; Pseudomonadota; Alphaproteobacteria; Hyphomicrobiales; Bartonellaceae
Description: partial 16S-23S ribosomal RNA intergenic spacer
Rfam family: tRNA (bases 57-130)
Source: RNAcentral